UAGGGAAUCUUCCGCAAUGGACGCAAGUCUGACGGAGCAACGCCGCGUGAGUGAAGAAGGUUUUCGGAUCGUAAAACUCUGUUGUUAGAGAAGAACAAGUGCUAGAGUAACUGUUAGCGCCUUGACGGUAUCUAACCAGAAAGCCACGGCUAACUACGUGCCAGCAGCCGCGGUAAUACGUAGGUGGCAAGCGUUGUCCGGAUUUAUUGGGCGUAAAGCGAGCGCAGGCGGUUCCUUAAGUCUGAUGUGAAAGCCCCCGGCUCAACCGGGGAGGGUCAUUGGAAACUGGGGAACUUGAGUGCAGAAGAGGAGAGUGGAAUUCCAUGUGUAGCGGUGAAGUGCGUAGAUAUAUGGAGGAACACCAGUGGCGAAGGCGACUCUCUGGUCUGUAACUGACGCUGAGGCUCGAAAGCGUGGGUAGCAAACAGGAUUAGAUACCCUGGUAGUCCACGCCGUAAACGAUGAGUGCUAAGUGUUGGAGGGUUUCCGCCCUUCAGUGCUACAGUUAACGCAUUAAGCACUCCGCCUGGGGAGUACGACCGCAAGGUUG
RNAcentral lists this ribosomal RNA (550 nucleotides) under uncultured bacterium. Its description in RNAcentral is "bacterial SSU rRNA". It matches the Rfam family "Bacterial small subunit ribosomal RNA", at positions 355 to 896 of the family's 1533-position model. The record is from RNAcentral.